CUGUUAAAAAGCUCGUAGUUGGAUCAAGAGUCGGACAGUGCACGGUGGCCCUGUUUGCUAGUCUGGCUACGGUCAGGGUAGCGGCAGCGGAACUACCCCGUGCGCCAAACUGUCCGCUCUAACAGGCCGAAGCGGUUCCCUGUGAGUAGGCUCCUUCAUUGGGGCUGAAAGCGCCUACGCAUCAACCACAUGCAUACGGGACGUCGGCCAAAGUUACUGUGAACAAACCAGCGUGUCCAAAGCAGGCUUGCCUGAAUGUUCGAGCAUGGAAUAACAAGGGAUCGAUUCUAUCGGUUCUUUUUGUUGGUUUUUAACCCGAUAAGGAGUAAUGCAGGCCACGGUGUCUGAGGUGGGUUUCCCUAGGCCUCCGGUUUAGGCCCCAUCUAGGCCGUGUCCUUACGGGAUCAAUAGGGACUGACGGGGUCGUAUGUACUUCCGCGUCAGAGGUGAAAUUCUUAGAUCGCGGGAAGACAAACUUCUGCGAAAGCAUUCGACAAGAAUGUCUUCAUUAAUCAAGAACGAGAGUGUGGGGAUCGAAGAUGAUCAGAUACCGUCGUAGUCCACUACUGUAAACAAUGCCGUCUCAGGAUUGAGAGGUGAACAGAAUGACUUUCACAGCACUAACC
RNAcentral lists this ribosomal RNA (626 nucleotides) under uncultured marine eukaryote. RNAcentral describes it as "bacterial SSU rRNA". It matches the Rfam family "Eukaryotic small subunit ribosomal RNA", at positions 618 to 1091 of the family's 1831-position model. The record is from RNAcentral.